CAUGGCAUUGGCUCUUGGUAGGAGUGACCGAGUGAGCUCUGUGAUGUGGGCAACAAGUUACAGACCAUUAUGCAGUGGUUCUGUUUUGCAGUUUGAAAUAAGGAAUUGGAACUGCAACAUCCUGAAAUACUUGACAAACUACGGGAAGAAACAUCAAGAACUUGCUCCCCAUGAAACAACUCCACAAUAUCAUUGUCACAUGCUAUUUUAUUUGCAAUGAGCAUAGAGAUCCUCGCGAUUGACCCAUAUGAAGUAACUUUAGCAAAGCUUGCUCUCUACCCUAUUAAAGAAUUGUUGUCUUUUUGUAACAUGAGUUACCCAUUUUUUAUUGGACAGCAUACCACUUUUGAGACGUUAAGUGAUAAUGAUAGUGGUUGAUAAGUUGUAUUGAGUUUUGCCUUACCUGUCCACCCUAAAACGUGUUAUCAGCCAAUGUGAAAGUGUAUAUAUUGCAAUGUAAGGCUCAUUGUGGUAUAUGUAUAUACAUGCAAUGGCAGACUCAUUGUGGCUGUUAUAGUCA
This is a long non-coding RNA of Triticum dicoccoides, 520 nucleotides long. RefSeq lists it as uncharacterized. The record is from RefSeq and is a predicted model, not a curated record. Lineage: Eukaryota; Viridiplantae; Streptophyta; Magnoliopsida; Poales; Poaceae. The transcript is spliced from 2 exons.